RNAcentral lists this ribosomal RNA (424 nucleotides) under uncultured bacterium. Its description in RNAcentral is "bacterial SSU rRNA". It matches the Rfam family "Bacterial small subunit ribosomal RNA", at positions 355 to 796 of the family's 1533-position model. The record is from RNAcentral.
UAACGAAUCUUCCGCAAUGCACGCAAGUGUGACGGAGCGACGCCGCGUGUGGGACGAAGUCCUUCGGGAUGUAAACCACUGUCAGGGGUUAGAAAGUUCUGAUCAACCCCAGAGGAAGGCACGGCUAACUCUGUGCCAGCAGCCGCGGUAAGACAGAGGUGCCAAGCGUUAGGCGGAAUCACUGGGCUUAAAGCGUGUGUAGGUGGACUGGUAAGUACCUUGUGAAAUCCCACGGCUUAACCGUGGAACUGCUUGGUAUACUGCUGGUCUUGAGCAACCUAGGGGCGAGCGGAACAAAUGGUGGAGCGGUGAAAUGCGUAGAUAUCAUUUGGAACGCCAAUGGUGAAAACAGCUCGCUGGGGGUUUGCUGACACUGAGACACGAAAGCCAGGGGAGCAAACGGGAUUAGAUACCCCCGUAGUCC